AGUCGUAACAUAGUAGACGUACCGGAAGGUGUGUCUGGAAUUAUGAGUAGAUAGCUUAAAAUUAAAGUUUAUUAUUUACACUAAUAAGAUAUUUGUAAAAAUUUUUACUAUUGAAAAUAAUUCUUAUAAAUUGUUGAUUUACUGUAAAGGAUAAAAUUUAUAAAAAUAUAUUAAUAAUUUUUUUAAUUGUACCUUUUGUAUCAGGAUUAAUUAAAAUUUAAUUUUUAUAAUUUUUUCUCGAAAAGAAAAUAUUUAUAUAUUUAAUAAUUUUAGUGUAGUAAAAUUAAAAUGAAAUUUUAUAUGGUAUUGAAAUAAUAUUCGAUUUUUUAUAUCUAGUUACUUUAAUAAUUAAUAUAAUUAAUAAAAUUUUUCGUUUUAUAAAAAUUUAAAAUUUAUUGGGGGAUAAUCUUAAAUUUUUUUUAAUAGUAGAAAAAUUAUUUAUUAUAAUUAAGCUUAAAAUUAGCUAUUAUCUUUAUUUGUUAAAAAUAAUUAUUAAAUAUAUAAUAUUAUUUAUAUUGCUUUAAAAGGGGAGUUAAAGUAAUAUAAUUUAGUAUAAUUUUUAUAAAAAUAAUGAUUAAAUUAGUAGAUUUUAAUAUUUUUGAUAUAAGAAUUCGGCAAAUAUUAAAUUUCGCCUGUUUAACAAAAAC
Molecule: ribosomal RNA, 647 nt
Filed under: Diclidophlebia excetrodendri
Lineage: Eukaryota; Metazoa; Arthropoda; Insecta; Hemiptera; Liviidae
Description: partial small subunit ribosomal RNA
Source: RNAcentral